This 122-nucleotide unclassified non-coding RNA is filed under the name uncultured Archaeorhizomyces. RNAcentral describes it as "partial internal transcribed spacer 2". Lineage: Eukaryota; Fungi; Ascomycota; Archaeorhizomycetes; Archaeorhizomycetales; Archaeorhizomycetaceae. The record is from RNAcentral.
AAAACAAUAGACCCGCUCGGGUUUGUAUUGGGCGUCGCCUCCUGGCGUAGCCUCAAAGGCAUUGGUCUUAUACGCGGACGAGUUCCUUUAGGACGGACCGUGUCGGGACUUUAAACCAUCUG